RNAcentral lists this long non-coding RNA (35561 nucleotides) under Triticum aestivum (bread wheat). RNAcentral describes it as "long non-coding RNA (TAES_LNC026526)". Lineage: Eukaryota; Viridiplantae; Streptophyta; Magnoliopsida; Poales; Poaceae. The record is from RNAcentral.
AGUGAUCGAAAGUGGUUGAUGUACUCUAAACAUGUGAAUAAAGUUUACUGUUUUUGCCGCAAAUUGUUCAAGUCUGAAAGUAGCAGAAGUUUACUAGCAUCUGAAGGACUAAUGGACUGGAAGCAUCUAAGCGAGAAGCUCAAACUUCAUGAGAAUAGUGUUGAGCAUAUCACUAACAUGAAUACUUGGAAUGAGGUAAGACUGGGGCUAAGUAAAAAUGUGACAAUUGAUAAAGAUCUGCAACAAGAAAUUGCAAAGGAGAAAGAGCGAUGGAGACAGGUUCUGAUUAGAAUUGUUGCUGCAGUGAAGUUUCUUGCCAAGCAUAAUUUGGCUUUUCGAGGAUCAAAUGAGAAACUAUACCAAGUUAGCAAUGGAAACUUUUUGGGAGUAAUUGAUUUAGACCUGAAGUAUGACAUUGUUAUUUAUGGCCUGGAGUAUUAUUUACCAAGGAAAAUUACCACUGUUUAUUAUAGCUUUGCAAGAAUUAUUUUUCUAUCAAUGUAUGGGAUCAUUUUUUCCUCCAAUAUCGCCACUGGGCCCAUUCAUUUGAGUUCUCCCUGGGGCCUCCGAAACUCAAGGACCGGCGCUGCGUGCUCCCCGCUAUGAUGUCGCCUGCUCAUGGUCGCACGCCAUGCUCAUUUCCUUGACCCAUCCCCCGCAUGCGCUACUUCACUACUGCAGGGUACGCUGAUGGCCUCACGAGAAUGCUAGGUUCAUCGGCAAGGCGCACACACGGUGAUUGUGUUAAUGCGUCGGAUGAGGCUCACAUUUAGUUUGUGUUUCUUUCUUGGACCUGAGGCCAUACUAAAAAUUGUUUGGCCAAAUGCCAACAAUUAUGUCUGAUACAUAUUGCAUAUUAUGCUGGUCACAAUGAGAAGUAUCAUGCAUAUGAUACUAUUUUCAUAGUGCGUAAUAUUAUAAAUUUGUAUCAUAGUGACCUCAUUUAUUAUCAUGCAUGACACAUACUAGUAUAUCAUUUAAUAUGAUACGGAAUCAUAUCAUAAUACUUAAUUCUCUCUUUUCUCAUUUAAUUGUGUGCCACCUUAGCAAACAUGUCUAGUUAGCAUGCAUGAUACUACCUAUAAUACUAUCAUUGUGACCAACCUUAUGAUUUUGUUCAAAUGUAUGAACGCAAAUAAUUCCAUGCAAUUUUAUGCAUAUAAUUCCCAAAUCAUAAUUACUCUUUCAUGUUUCAUUUAUUUCGGCAACUACAAAGCCGAAACAACAUAUGUACCCCACUGCCGGGAAUUAUUUCUAAGCAUGGUAUUGUUGCAAAUUUCAGGUAUUUUACAUAAUACUUAAAUCAUCAAGUGGCUGGAGGGAAUGGUGUCUGUUCACAAGGUGCGUGAUCCUUUGAUCAAAUUCUGAUUAUAAUGUGCUGCAAGGAAAAUCAAGUUUUGAGGCCAGCGAUUUAUCUUGGAUGUUACAUGUGCAUUUCUAUAGCUAAUCUCUCUCUCUCUCUCUCUCUGCGCGCCAGGGUCAAAGGUAGUCUCUUUCUAAGAAAAGGUUCCUAACAAUCUGUUGCAAAAACCCCCAUUUUCUAGUUCGCUAUUUUUUCAACAUACUUUAAGGGAAGUAGAAGAUUCCCCUGACCGCCACCAUGAAAUUUCCUAAUACAUAUGAGACUAAUCCCUGCGCCCCCCUAGGCCCUAGCAAAAACUUUGCUUUUCAGGAAAUGAAUCACCUCAUGAAAAAUCAAAAUACCCUAUGUCGUAUUUUUCACAAAGGCAGUCCGUUCUAUCAAUUAUUAUUUUCUGCCACUUCAGCAGAUCUAGUAUGUAUUCAUUGUUUUUCAAGCUACUAUUCACCGGACAAAUAGGCCUAAACUAAAUUUCUGAAUGAUAAUACAAUGCUUAUNNNNNNNNNNNNNNNNNNNNNNNNNNNNNNNNNNNNNNNNNNNNNNNNNNNNNNNNNNNNNNNNNNNNNNNNNNNNNNNNNNNNNNNNNNNNNNNNNNNNNNNNNNNNNNNNNNNNNNNNNNNNNNNNNNNNNNNNNNNNNNNNNNNNNNNNNNNNNNNNNNNNNNNNNNNNNNNNNNNNNNNNNNNNNNNNNNNNNNNNNNNNNNNNNNNNNNNNNNNNNNNNNNNNNNNNNNNNNNNNNNNNNNNNNNNNNNNNNNNNNNNNNNNNNNNNNNNNNNNNNNNNNNNNNNNNNNNNNNNNNNNNNNNNNNNNNNNNNNNNNNNNNNNNNNNNNNNNNNNNNNNNNNNNNNNNNNNNNNNNNNNNNNNNNNNNNNNNNNNNNNNNNNNNNNNNNNNNNNNNNNNNNNNNNNNNNNNNGACAUUGUCUGAUGUAGAGGCGUCCACACAACAGUAGAAGAUGGCAAAACUGCACAUAAGCGGCACGAACAAUGGAAAAAUCUACACAUUGUUUAGAGUUAAUCAACAUAACCUAAAGCAGGAUGUAGCAACAUAUGCAUUUCAUCAUAAGCUUUGAGCCUCUUUUUUUUAUGCUUCAACGGAGGGCUUCUGCUGGCUUGAAACAUAUAUUAAAACCAAACAGACCAGUCAUUUAUAGGGAAGGUUUUGGAGAUAUAAAUCAGGGAGGAUAGGGAAGGAUGAAGCAUAGGUUAGAUUCUCUUAGUUAGGCGAAACAACAUGACUCUCCAGUCGUUGAGUAUGGCCCUUUUUGAUUCAUUCACGCAUCUAUUAGACCAAAGCAUUAGAUCAUCAGUAGCGACACGCACAGGGAUAUUAAGUCCCUGAGUUUCAUCGCAGAAAACCUUCAUGUUGCACCUUUUCUACAUGCUCCGAAGAAUCGUCAUGAUGACGGUAGAUUUCAUCUUGUUGAGGAUAUCUUGACCCCAUAGAUGAGAAAGGUUUACCAGAGGGUCUACGGUCGCAAUUCAGAUCAUCGCAAAGAGGCUUCAUGUUGGAGCAAAGGAAUAACAUGUGAUUGGUAGUCUCCGACAAUGGACAGAAUCACAGAAGGGGCAGCGAUCAUCUGCAGCAAUCCCCCCUCCCCCCAUAUAGCCUUGUAAGCUGAUUUCGUGGAGAGAGUUUUCCCAAUGAGUUUGUUGUUCCUUCUAUCUACACCUACGAGUUCAAAGAACACGUAGCAAGCAUAACACACAAAGUUCAAAGCUCUUUCCGCUAGGUGGGAUAGCUGAGGGGCGAGAUCAAGGUGGAGCACAGGGUUGCUCAUAGCCCCUGCAAUGGACACAUUUGGUCUAUUUGAAUGAGAGAACAACACCGGGAAUCUAGAGGCUAGUGUGGAGCAAGAUUCUGGGAAGCUUUGAGCCAUUCAGUGUACAACAAACUAAUGUUGGGGAACGUAGCAGAAAUUCAAAAUUUUCCUACGUGUCACCAAGAUCUAUCUAUGGAGAGACCAGCAACGAGGGGAAGGAGAGUGCAUCUACAUACCCUUGUAGAUCGCUAAGCGGAAGCGUUCAAGAGAACGGGGUUGAUGGAGUCGUACUCGUCGUGAUUCAGAUCACCGAUGAUCCUAGUGCCGAACGGACGGCACCUCCGCGUUCAACACACGUACAGCCCGGUGACGUCUCCCACGCCUUGAUCCAGCAAGGAGAGAGGGAGAGGUUGAGGAAGACUCCAUCCAGCAGUAGCACAAUGGCGUGGUGGUGAUGGAGGAGCGUGACAAUCCUGCAGGGCUUUGCCAAGCACCUACGGGAGAGGAGGAGGUGUCACGGGAGGGAGGGAGGCGCCAGGGACUCAGGUAUGGAUGCCCUCCCUCCCCUCCACUAUAUAUAGGGGCAAGGGAGAGGGGGGAGGCGCAGCCUUGCCCCUUUCCUCCAAGGAAGGGGUGCGGCCAAGAGGGGGGGAGGAGUCCAUCCUCCCCAAGGCACCUCGGAGGUGCCUUCCCCCUUGAGGACUCUUCCCUCCCCAAGUUUCCUUGGCGCAUGGGCCUCUUGGGGCUGGUGCCCUUGGCCCAUAUAGGCCAAGGCGCACCCCCUACAGCCCAUGUGCCCCCCCGGGGCAGGUGGACCCCCCGGUGGACCCCCGGACCUCUUUCGGCACUCCCGGUACAAUACCGAUAAAGUGCGAAACUUUUCCGGCGACCAAAACAGGACUUCCCAUAUAUAAAUCUUUACCUCCGGACCAUUCCGGAACUCCUCGUGACGUCCGGGAUCUCAUCCGGGACUCCGAACAACAUUCGGUAACCACAUACAAACUUCCUUUAUAACCCUAGCGUCAUAGAACCUUAAGUGUGUAGACCCUACGGGUUCGGGAGACAUGCAGACAUGACCGAGACGUUCUCCGGUCAAUAACCAACAGCGGGAUCUGGAUACCCAUGUUGGCUCCCACAUGUUCCACGAUGAUCUCAUCGGAUGAACCACGAUGUCAAGGACUUAAUCAAUCCCGUAUACAAUUCCCUUUGUCUAUCGGUACGAUACUUGUCCGAGAUUCGACCGUCGGUAUCCCGAUACCUUGUUCAAUCUCGUUACCGGCAAGUCUCUUUACUCGUUCCGUAACACAUCAUCCCGUGAUCAACCCCUUGGUCACAUUGUGCACAUUAUGAUGAUGUCCUACCGAGUGGGCCCAGAGAUACCUCUCCGCUUACACGGAGUGACAAAUCCCAGUCUCGAUUCGUGCCAACCCAACAGACACUUUUGGAGAUACCUGUAAUGCACCUUUAUAGCCACCCAGUUACGUUGUGACGUUUGGUACACCCAAACAUUCCUACUGUAUCCGGGAGUUGCACAAUCUCAUGGUCUAAGGAAAAGAUACUUGACAUUAGAAAAGCUUCAGCAUAUGAACUACAUGAUCUUGUGCUAGGCUUAGGAUUGGGUCUUGUCCAUCACAUCAUUCUCUUAAUGAUGUGAUCCCGUUAUCAACGACAUCCAAUGUCCAUGGUCAGGAAACUGUAACCAUCUAUUGAUCAACGAGCUAGUCAACUAGAGGCUUACUAGGGACAUGGUGUUGUCUAUGUAUCCACACAUGUAUCUGAGUUUCCUAUCAAUACAAUUCUAGCAUGGAUAAUAAACAAUUAUCAUGAACAAGGAAAUAUAAUAAUAACUAAUUUAUUAUUUCCUCUAGGGCAUAUUUCCAACAGUCUCCCACUUGCACUAGAGUCAAUAAUCCAGUUCACAUCGAUAUGUGAUUAACACUCAAGGUCACAUCCCCAUGUGACUAACACCCAAGAGUUUACUAGAGUCAAUAAUCUAGUUCACAUCGAUAUGUGACUAACACUCGAUGAGUUCUGGGUUUGAUCAUGUCAUGCUUGUGAGAGAUGUUAUAGUCAACGGGUCUGAAUCAUUCAGAUCCGUGUGCGCUUUACAAAUCUCUAUGUCAUCUCCUAGAUGCAGCUACCUCGUUCUAUUUGGAGCUAUUCCAAAUAACUGUUCUACUUGGAGCUAUUCUAAAUUGUUGCUCCAUUAUACGUAUCCGGUAUCUCUACUCAGAGCUAUCCGGAUAGGUGUUAAGCUUGUAUCGACGUAACCCUUUACGACGAACUCUUUUACCACCUCCAUAAUCGAGAAAAUUCCUUAGUCCACUAGUUACUAAGGAUAAAUUUGACCGAUGUCCCGUGUCCAUUCUUGGAUCACUCUUGUACCCCUUGACUGACUCAUGGCAAGGCACACUUCAGGUGCGGUACACAGCAUAGCAUACUGUAGAGCCUAUGUCUUAAGCAUAGGGGACGACCUUCGUCCUUUCUCUCUAUUCUGCCGUGGUCGAGCUUUAAGUCUUAACUUCAUACCCUUCAACUCAGGCAAGAACUCCUUCUUUGACUGAUCCAUCUUGAACACCUUCAAGAUCAUGUCAAGGUAUGUUCUCAUUUGAAAGUACCAUUAAGCGUUUUGAUCUAUCCUUAUAGAUCUUGAUGCUCAAUGUUCAAGUAGCUUGAUCCAGGCUUUCCAUUGAAAAACACUUUCCAAAUAACCCUAUAUGCUUUCCAGAAAUUCUACGUCAUUUCUGAUCAACAAUAUGUCAACAACAUAUAUUUAUCAGAAAUUCUAUAGUGCUCCCACUCACUUCUUUGGAAAUACAAGUUUCUCAUAAACUUUGUAUAAACCCAAAAUCUUUGAUCAUCAUCAAAGCAUACAUUCCAACUCCGAGAUGCUUACUCCAGUCCUUAGAAGGAUUGCUAGAGCUUUGCAUGCUUAUUAGCAUCUUUCAGGAUUGACAAAACCUUUCUGAUUGUAUCACAUACAACCUUUCCUUACGGAAGUUGGUAAGGAAACUCGUUUUGACAUCCAUCUGCCAGAUUUCAUAAAUGCAGCUUAUGCUAACAUGAUUCCGACGGACUUAAGCAUCGCUACGGAUGAGAAAAUCUCAUCGCAGUCAUCUCCUUGAACUUGUGAAAAAACUCUUCGCCACAAGUCGAGCUUCAUAGACGGUGACAUUACCGUCCACGUCCGUCUUCUUCUUAAAGAUCCAUUUAUCUUAAUGGCUUGCCGAUCAUUGGGCAAGUCCACCAAAGUCCAUGCUUUGUUCUGAUACAUGGAUCCUAUCUUGGAUUUCAUGGUUUCUUAACCAUUUGUCGGAAUUUGGGCCCACCAUCGCUUCUCCAUAGCUCGUAGGUUCAUUGUUGUCUAGCAACAUGACUUCCAAGACAGGAUUACGUACCACUCUGAAGUAGUACGCAUCCUUGUCAUCCCACGAGGUUUGGUAGUGACUUGAUCUGAAGUUUCAUGAUCACUAUCAUAAGCUUCCACUUCAAUUGGUGUAGGUGCCACAGGAACAACUUCCUGUGCCCUGCCAUACACUAGUUGAAGAGACGGUUCAAUAACCUCAUCAAGUCUCCACCAUCCUCCCACUCAAUUCUUUCGAGAGAAACUUUUCCUCGAGAAAGGACCCGAUUCUAGAAACAAUCACUUUUGCUUCCGGAUCUGAAUUAGGAGGUAUACCCAACUGUUUUGGAUGUCCUAUGAAGAUGCAUUUAUCCGCUUUGGGUUCGAGCUUAUCAGCCUGAAACUUUUUCACAUAAGCGUCGCAGCCCCAAACUUCUAAGAAAUGACAGCUUAGGUUUCCCUAAACCAUAGUUCAUAUGGUGUCAUCUCAUCGGAAUUACGUGGUGCCCUAUUUAAAGUGAAUGUGGUUGUCUCUAAUGCCUAACCCAUAAACUAUCGUGGUAAUUCGAUAAGAGACAUCAUGGUAUGCAUCAUAUCCAAUAGGGUGCAGUUAUGAUGUUCGGACACACCAUCCCACUAUGGUGUUCCAGGCUGUACUAGUUGUGAAACAAUUUCCACAAUGUCUUAAUUCUGUGCCAAACUCGUAAUUCAGAUAUUCAUCUCUAUGAUCAUAUCAUAGAUCUUUUAUCCUCUUGUCACGAUGAUCUUUCAACUUCACACUGAAAUUACUUGAACCUUUCAAUAAUUCAGACUUGUGAUUCAUCAAGUAAAUAUACUCAACAUCUACUCAAAUCAUCUGUGAAGUAAGAACAUAACGAUAUCCACUACAUGCCUCAGCACUCAUUGGACUGCACACAUCAAAAUGUAUUACUUCCAACAAGUUGCUUUCUAGUUCCAUUUUACUGAAAACGAGGCUUUCAGUCAUCUUGCCCAUAUGGUAUGAUUUGCAUGUCUCAAGUGAUUCAAAACCAAGUGAGUCCAAACGAUCCAUCUGUAUAGAGUUUCUUCAUGCAUAUCUACCAACAAACAUGAUUCGCAUGUCUCAAUCCUUUCAAAAACGAGUGAGUCCAAAGAUCCAUCAACAUGGAGCUUCUUCAUGCGUUUUAUACCGAUAUGACUUAAGUGGCAGUGCCACAAGUAGGUGGUACUAUCAUUACUAUCUUUUGGCAUGAACAUGUGUAUCACUACGAUCGAGAUUCAAUAAACCAUUCAUUUCAGGUGUAAGACCAUUUGAAGGUAUUAUUCAAAUAAACAGAGUAACCAUUAUUCUCUUUAAAUGAAUAACGUAUUGCGAUAGACAUAAUCCAAUCAUGUCUAUGCUCAACGCAAACACCAAAUAACAAUUAUUUAGGUUUUAAUACCAAUCUCGAUGGUAGAGGGAGUGUGCGAUGCUUGAUCAUAUCAACCCUGGAAACACUUCCAACACAUAUCGUCAGCUCACCUUUAGCUAGUCUCCGUUUAUUCCGUAGCUUUUAUUUCGAGUUACUAACACUUAGUAACCGAACCGGUAUCUAAUACCCUGGUGCUACUAGGAGUACGAGUAAAGUACACAUCAACACAAUGUAUACCCAAUAUACUUCUAUCGACCUUACAAGCCUUCUCAUCUACCAAGUAUCUAGGGUAAUCCUGCUCCAGUGGCUGUUCCCCUUAUUACAGAAGCACUCAGUCUCGGGUUUGGGUUCAACCUUGGGUUUCUUUACUAGAGCAGCAGCUGAAUUGCCAUUUCAUGAAGUAUCCCUUUGUUCCCUUGCCCUUCUUGAAACUAGUGGUUUCACCAACCAUCAACAAUUGAUGCUCCUUCUUGAUCUCUACUUUUGUGGUGUCAAACAUCACGAAUAUCUCAAGGAUCAUCAUAUAUAUAUAUCCCUGAUAUAUUAUAGUUCAUCACGAAGCUUAGCAGCUUGGUGGUAAUGACUUCGGAGAAACAUCACUAUCUCAUCUGGAAGAUCAACUCCCACUUGAUUCAAGCGAUUGUUGUACUCAGACAAUCUGAGCACAAGCUCAACAAUUGAGCUUUUCUCCCUUAGUUUGCAGGCUAAGAAAAUCGUCGGAGGUCUUAUACCUCUUGACGUGGGCACGAGCCUGGAAUCCCAAUUUCAGUCCUUGAAACAUCUCAUAUGUUUCGCGACGUUUCGAAAAUGUCUUCGGUGCCUCAAUUCUAAACCAUUUAACAUUACCGAACUAUCAUGUAGUCAUCAAAACAUGUGUGUCAGAUGUUCGCAACAUCCACAGACAACGUUCGAGGUUCAGCACACUGAGCGGUGCAUUAAGGACAUAAGCCUUCUAUGAAGCAAUGAGGACAAUCCUCAGUUUACGGACCUAGUCCGCAUAAUUGCUACUAUCAACUUUCAACUAAUUUUUUCUCUAGGAACAUAUCUAAACAGUAGAACUAUAGCGUGAGCUAUGACAUAAUUUGCAAAAUCCUUUUGACUAUGUUUAGGAUAAUUAAGUUCAUCUUAUGAACUCCCACUCAGAUAGACAUCCCUCUAGUCAUCUAAGUGAUUACAUGAUCCGAGUCAACUAGGCCGUGUCCGAUCAUCACGUGAGAUGGACUAGCCAACGUCGGUGAACAUCUUCAUGUUGAUCGUAUCUUCUAUACGACUCAUGCUCGACCUUUCGGUCUUCUGUGUUCCGAGGCCAUGUCUAUGCACAUGCUAGGCUCGUCAAGUUAACCCUAAGUGUUUUGCAUGUGUAAAACUGUCUUACACCCGUUGUAUGUGAACGUAAGGAUCUAUCACACCCGAUCAUCACGUGGUGCUUCGAAACGACGAACUGUAGCAAUGGUGCACAGUUAGGGGAGAACACUUCUUGAAAUUUUAAUGAGGGAUCAUCUUAUUUACUACCGUCGUUCUAAGCAAAUAAGAUGUAUAAACAUGAUAAACAUCACAUGCAAUCAAAUAAUAGUGACAUGAUAUGGCCAAUAUCAUAUAGCUCCUUUGAUCUCCAUCUUGGGGCUCCAUGAUCAUCAUCGUCACCGGCAUGACACCAUGAUCUCCAUCAUCGUGUCUUCUUGAAGUUGUCACGUCAUCUAUUACUUCUACUACUAUGGAUAACGCUUUAGCAAUAAAGUAAAGUAAUUACAUGACGUUUAUGUUGACACGCAGGUCAUAAAUAAAUUAAGACAACUCCUAUGGCUCCUGCCGGUUGUCAUACUCAUCGACAUGCAAGUCGUGAUACCUAUUACAAGAACAUGAUCAAUCUCAUACAUCACAUAUAUCAUUCAUCACAUCCUUUUGGCCAUAUCACAUCACAUAGCAUACCCUGCAAAAACAAGUUAGACGCCCUCUAAUUGUUGUUUGCAUGUUUUAUGUGGCUGCUAUGGGUUUCUAGCAAGAACGUUUCUUACCUACGCAAAAACCACAACGUGAUAUGCCAAUUGCUAUUUACCCUUCAUAAGGACCCUUUUCAUCGAAUCCGAUCCGACUAAAGUAGGAGAGACAGACACCCGCUAGCCACCUUAUGCAACUAGUGCAUGUCAGUCGGUGGAACCAGUCUCACGUAAGAGUACGUGUAAGGUCGGUCCGGGCCGCUUCAUCCCACGAUGCCGCCGAAUCAAGAUAAGACUAGUAACGGCAAGCAUAUUGAACAAAAUCAACGCCCACAACUACUUUGUGUUCUACUCAUGCAUAGAAACUACGCAUAGACCUAGCUCAUGAUGCCACUGUUGGGGAACGUAGCAGAAAUUCAAAAUUUUCCUACGUGUCACCAAGAUCUAUCUAUGGAGAGACCAGCAACGAGGGAAAGGAGAGUGCAUCUACAUACCCUUGUAGAUCGCUAAGCGGAAGCGUUCAAGAGAACGGGGUUGAUGGAGUCGUACUCGUCGUGAUUCAGAUCACCGAUGAUCCUAGUGCCGAACGGACGGCACCUCCGCGUUCAACACACGUACAGCCCGGUGACGUCUCCCACGCCUUGAUCCAGCAAGGAGAGAGGGAGAGGUUGAGGAAGACUCCAUCCAGUAGCAGCACAACGGCGUGGUGGUGAUGGAGGAGCGUGGCAAUCCUGCAGGGCUUUGCCAAGCACCUACGGGAGAGGAGGAGGUGUCACGGGAGGGAGGGAGGCGCCAGGGACUCAGGUAUGGAUACCCUCCCUCCCCUCCACUAUAUAUAGGGGCAAGGGAGAGGGGGGAGGCGCAGCCUUGCCCCUUCCUCCAAGGAAGGGGUGCGGCCAAGAGGGGGGGAGGAGUCCAUCCUCCCCAAGGCACCUCGGAGGUGCCUUCCCCCUUGAGGACUCUUCCCUCCCCAAGUUUGCUUGGCGCAUGGGCCUCUUGGGGCUGGUGCCCUUGGCCCAUAUAGGCCAAGGCGCACCCCCUACAGCCCAUGUGGCCCCCCGGGGCAGGUGGACCCCCUGGUGGACCCCCGGACCCCUUUCGGCACUCCCGGUACAAUACCGAUAAAGUGCGAAACUUUUCCGGCGACCAAAACAGGACUUCCCAUAUAUAAAUCUUUACCUCCGGACCAUUCCGGAACUCCUCGUGACGUCCGGGAUCUCAUCCGGGACUCCGAACAACAUUCGGUAACCACAUACAAACUUCCUUUAUAACCCUAGCUUCAUCGAACCUUAAGUGUGUAGAUCCUACGGGUUCGGGAGACAUGCAGACAUGACCGAGACGUUCUCCGGUCAAUAACCAACAGCGGGAUCUGGAUACCCAUGUUGGCUCCCACAUGUUCCACGAUGAUCUCAUCGGAUGAACCACGAUGUCAAGGACUUAAUCAAUCUCGUAUACAAUUCCCUUUGUCUAUCGGUACGAUACUUGUCCGAGAUUCGACCGUCGGUAUCCCGAUACCUUGUUCAAUCUCGUUACCGGCAAGUCUCUUUACUCGUUCCGUAACACAUCAUCCCGUGAUCAACCCCUUGGUCACAUUGUGCACAUUAUGAUGAUGUCCUACCGAGUGGGCCCAGAGAUACCUCUCCGCUUACACGGAGUGACAAAUCCCAGUCUCGAUUCGUGCCAACCCAAUAGACACUUUCGGAGAUACCUGUAAUGCACCUUUAUAGCCACCCAGUUACGUUGUGACGUUUGGUACACCCAAAGCAUUCCUACGGUAUCCGGGAGUUGCACAAUCUCAUGGUCUAAGGAAAAGAUACUUGACAUUAGAAAAGCUUCAGCAUACGAACUACAUGAUCUUGUGCUAGGCUUAGGAUUGGGUCUUGUCCAUCACAUCAUUCUCCUAAUGAUGUGAUCCCGUUAUCAACGACAUCCAAUGUCCAUGGUCAGGAAACCGUAACCAUCUAUUGAUCAACGAGCUAGUCAACUAGAGGCUUACUAGGGACAUGGUGUUGUCUAUGUAUCCACACAUGUAUCUGAGUUUCCUAUCAAUACAAUUCUAGCAUGGAUAAUAAACGAUUAUCAUGAACAAGGAAAUAUAAUAAUAACUAAUUUAUUAUUGCCUCUAGGGCAUAUUUCCAACAACUAAUACAGUAGCUAUGCAUUGUGAGAAAGGCUGGGAACGUCGUGCCUUUGCCAGGGCCGACGGCUUCGUGUUUAUAUGCAGGGUCGCGACCUCCCUGAUAGCGUACAAGUUGUUGGGAUUACAAACUUGGAGAACAAGAGAUAGACUAAGAGAUAGAUAUCUAGUUUAACAGGAAAAUAAACCAUAACAGAUUCCUAGUCUAUCCUACGCUAGGAGCUUCGGUUGUUAAUCCCUUGGCGCAUACGAUGAGGGCUGUCAUGUUGUCUAACACCCUCCCUUAAUCACAACUUUGCAAGUUGAGAUUACGCUUGAAUUCUUCAAGAUUUCUUGUAGGUAAAGCCUUGGUGAAGCCAUCUGCAACCUGGUCCUUUGAAUGCACAAAACGAAUUUCCAAUUGUUUAUUAGCAACACGUUCUCUUACAAAAUGGAAAUAUAUCUCAAUGUGUUUUGUCCUUGCAUGAAAGACCGGAUUAGCAGACAAAUAGGUGGCACCAAUAUUGUCACACCAUAAACAAGGAGCCUGAAUGUGUUUUAUACCAAGUUCUCUUAACAUGGACUGAACCCAAAUGAUCUCUGUUGUGGCAUUUGCCAGUGCCUUAUAUUCAGCCUCUGUUCCUGACCUUGAUACAGUUGUCUGUUUCCUUGCACACCAUGAUAUAAGGUUGGGUCCAAAAAAUACUGCAAACCCACCAGUAGAGCGUCUGUCAUCUAGACAGCCUGCCCAGUCUGAGUCAGAAAAAACACUGACAAGUUUAGAUGAGGACUUGAUGAAUGUGAGACCAAGAUUCAUAGUAUGCUUUACAUAUCUCACAAUACCCUUUGCAGCAGUCCAAUGAACUGUGGUAGGUGCAUGAAGAAACUGACAUACUUUGUUAACAGCAAAGGAAAUGUCAGGUCUUGUUAGAGUAAGAUAUUGAAGUGCUCCUACUAAACUUCUGUACCUGGUACUGUCCUCUUGAUUCAAAGGAUCUCCUUCUGUAAGAGACAAUUUUUCUGUGCUAGACAAGGGAGUUGGAACAGGCUUACACCCUUGCAAACCAACCCUUCUUACCAAAUCAUUGGCAUAUUUUUUUUGGGAGAGAUGAAGACCAUCCUCAAGUUUUCUUACUUCAAUUCCUAGGAAAAAGUGCAAGUCACCCAAAUCCUUGAGAGCAAACUCAGCACUCAGAUCCUUCAACAAUCCUGCCACUGCCUCAUCAGAUGAACUAGUGACAAUAAUAUCAUCAACAUAGAUAAGCACAAAUAUAGAUGUAUUUGCCUUUCUAUAAAUAAAUAGUGAGGUAUCUGAUUUUGAUGGAACAAAUCCAAGUGCUUGUAACUUUUGACUGAGACGUGAAUACCAUGCUCGGGGUGCCUGCUUCAGUCCAUAAAGAGCUUUAUCAAGUUUACAAACAUGAAAGGGUGAGUUUUUAUCGACGAACCCGGGAGGUUGUUUCAUGUAUACUUCCUCUUCCAGAACACCAUGAAGGAACGCGUUCUGUACAUCUAGCUGUCUGAGACUCCAGCUCCUGAAAACAGCAAUAGAUAGCACAAGACGAAUAGUAGCAGCCUUGACAACAGGGCUAAAGGUAUCUUCAUAGUCGAUGCCAUAUCGCUGUUUGUAACCCUUAGCCACAAGUCUGGCUUUAUACCGAUCAAUGGUUCCAUCAGACUUCCUUUUAAUUCUGUAGACCCACUUGCAGUCAAUUAAAUUUUUACCUCAUGGCGGGGGAACCAAAUGCCACAUUUUGUUCCUCUGAAGCGCCACAUGUUCUUCUUCCAUAGCUUUCCUCCACCGUGCAUCUCCUAGGGCCUCAUCCAGGGUGCGUGGUUCACCUGUGUAGCAUGCAAGACCAAACUUGGUUUUAUAAUUUAUAGGUUGAAGCACUCCCUUUUGUAGACGCGUGCGUGGAAGGCGUGGAGAAGAAACGGGCACAGAAGAUCCAGGCGAAUCUGCAUCAGCCGAUCCCGAGGCGGAUUCUUCUGGUGUUGCAGCCGCAUCGGUUCCGGUGGGAUUUUCUGCGGUUGUUGUAGACGAUGGAGCGGGCACUGGAGGCACAGAAGAUCCCGCACCAGCUCCUGUGGCCGCGACAGAAUCAGCCUUCGAUCGCACGCCUGGGCCCCUGGCCGAAUCAGCGCCGAGUCCCGUGCUGAUUUGCUGGCGGCAAGCGUAACAGCGAGGCCCGCUCGCGGGCCAGCGGCCCCCGGCCUGCCGCGUGGGGGAGCCAGGUUGGCGCGGGCCUGGCGGAGCGUCUGGGCCGGUCGGUGGCGACCACAUGGUGGCGGCGAAGUCGUCGCUGCGGCCCCUGGUAGGUGCACGUGCGGGCGACGCGUUUCCUGGGUUGCCGCCGUCCUGCUGCCGCACGGAUCCCGAGGCGGAUCCGCUGCCAAACUGUUGUUGCGCCGAUCCCGAGGAGGAUAUGUCCCCCAGGGUUUGACACAUAAAAUGUCGUCUCUUUGGAUUGAUUUGUGCAUCAUUUUCGAUGAUUUCUUCACUGUUUUCUUCAUCUGCUGCUGUAUCUGCAUCAUCAUAGGACUCAUGCACAGGGUUAUGAGGAUUAGUCAACGUAUGAUCAUCACAAUUAUUCCCCCCCCAUGAUCAAUACCGGAGAGAUGUGAUGGAAGAAGGAGAAUUUCUUUCCUAAGGAGUGCACCGGCAUUGGGAUGAAGAUCAGCAAAAGGAAAUUUGGUUUCAUCAAACACGACAUCGCGUGAGAUGUAGACACGUCCGGUGGAGACAUCGAGGCACUUGACGCCUUUGUGUUGUGCGCUGUAUCCGAUGAAAACACAUUGUUUAGAUUGAUACAUGAGCUUGCGAUUGUUGUAUGGUCUAAGAUUGGGCCAACAAGCGCAGCCAAACACGCGAAGAGAAUUGUAGUCUGGCUUGACAUGGAGGAGUCUUUCAGUGGGGGUGUCAUUAUUAAUGACACGACUAGGCAACAUGUUUAUGAGGUGAACUGCCAUAAGGAACGCUUCGUCCCAAAACUUAAGCGGCAUGGAUGCUCUUGCUAGAAGAGCGAGGCCAACUUCUGCGAUGUGCCUGUGUUUGCGUUCGGCUGACCCAUUCUAUUGAUGGGCAUAUGGACACGACACAUGAUGAGAUAUGCCAAGGUUUUGGAAAAAUGAGUUUAGCUUUUCAUAUUCGCCUCCCCAAUCAGAUUGGAGGGCGAUGAUUUUGGUGUCAAAUUUUCGUUCAACGAGAGCUUGGAAGUUAAGAAACACUUGAAACACGUCGGAUCUUUUCUUGAGAAGAUAUAUCCAAGAGAAUUUGCUAAAAUCAUCGAUGAAACUCACGUAAUAUGUAUGUCUACCAACAGAAGUAGGGGCAGGUCCCCAGACAUCAGAAAAAAUGAGUUGUAGUGGUUUGGUAGAAAUACUAGUAGAAAUUGGAUACGGUAACUGAUGACUUUUAUCUUUCUGACAUGAAUCACAAAUUGUUUCGACAUCACUCUCCAACAUAUGAGAGUUUAUUCUUCCUAAGCAAACGUUCAACUAAAGGAAAAGCUGCAUGCCCUAAUCGAUCGUGCCACCGUGUUGAAGAUAGCUUGGUGGCACUAAAAACUUGUUUAUUGGAUCUUCUAAUCUCCGGAAUCAAAGGGUAGAGCCCACGAAUGCAUCGACCUCGAUAGAGCACUUUCUUCGUUGCCUGAUCCUUGAUCAAAAAAUAAAAGGGGUGAAACUCAAGGAAGACAUGAUUAUCGAUAGCAAUACGAUGAACGGAGAGAAGAUUUUUGUUAGCACUAGGGACAUGCAAAAUUUUCCGAAGGUGAAUUUUCCUAUGAGGGGUAUUAAUGAUUGUGUGACCAACGUGACGAAUCUUCAUACCUUCUCCACUGGCAGUGUGGAUGUGGUCCUUGCCGCGGUACUUCUCACGCAUGGUCACCUUCUCGAGUUCACCGGUGAUGUGGUUGGUUGCGCCGCUGUCCACAUACCAGUUUGUGUCCACUCCAUAUGAGCCAUCAGCAGCCCCAGCCACCUUCUCAUCUGAGGAUGAGUCACCGUCAUCAUCAUACCUGUACCAGCAGUCUUUCGCUGUGUGGCCAGGUUUACCACAGAUCUGGCAACAUGUGGCGUCGGGACGCUUGUUGGAGGAGUUACGGCGGCCGCCCCCGUUGUUGGUGUAGGAGGGCCAGCCACCAUUGUCGCGAGAGUCGCCACGGUCGCCGCGAUCACCGCGGUCGCCAUGGGUGUUGUUGUUGUUCCCCUUGCCGCGGGUUGGCCCGCGGUAGCGUGAGCCGCCACCUCGGCCGCGCAUGGCGGCGUUGGCGGAGGACUUGAAGCCGCCACCACCUGAGUUUGUGCCCUGGAACAACGCCACCCUUUGAUCGAAGUUGCUCAUCUGAGCAUACAGUUCAUCAAGGGUGACGGGCUGAGUGCGGGCGUCGAGGGCGGAGACGAGGGGUUGAUACUCCAUGUCGAGGCCGGCCGUGAUGUAGGAGAUGAGCUCGUCGUCGUCGAGUGGCUUGCCUGCAGCUGCAAGCUCGUCGGCAAGGGAGCGCAUGUGCGCGAAGAAGGCCGCUACUGACUGGUUUCCCUUCUGUGCGUUCGCAAGUGCGACGCGGAUGUUGUUGAUGCGGGACAGUGACUGAGACGAAAACAUGUUCGCCAGCACUGUCCAGAGCUCGUGUGCAUGGCAGAUCGAGGUCACCUGCACGAGUACUCCUUGGAAAGAUUGUUCAGAAGAUAACCAAGUACCUGCUGAUCUUCCCGGAACCAGAUCGGAUGAAGGGGGUUUGGUGUGGUCAUCUCCUUCCCGUCCUUGUCCUUGGUGACGACGGUCUUGGCUGGUUCCGGCAUGGUGCCGUCAACAUAGUCAUAGACGCCCGCGCCUCUGAGCUGCGGAGUGAUUUGUGUGCGCCAGAGGAUGAAGUUUGUGCGGGUGAGUUUCUCGGUAAUUUGGCCGGUGAGCGUGGAGUUGGAUGAGCUGAAGGAUGCCAUGGCGGAAACUGGUGCGAUGGAGGGCUGGGGCUAGAUGAAUGGAAAAGUUAGGCUCUGAUUACCAUGUGAGAAAGGCUGGGAACGUCGUGCCUUUGCCAGGGCCGACGGCUUCGUGUUUAUAUGCAGGGUCGCGACCUCCCUGAUAGCGUACAAGUUGUUGGGAUUACAAACGUGGAGAACAAGAGAUAGACUAAGAGAUAGAUAUCUAGUUUAACAAGAAAAUAAACCAUAACAGAUUCCUAGUCUAUCCUACGCUAGGAGCUUCGGUUGUUAAUCCCUUGGCGCAUACGAUGAGGGCUGUCACGUUGUCUAACAUGCAUAUACAAAUGUUUUUUAUCACUUCUGCUUCGAUACACCCUCCCUAAAUACAUCCAUGGCUGAGAUUACUCCAUACCCAAGAUGGUCUUUUCUAGAAGUACGUCACGGCGUGCGUAUGGCCUAUAUGACACGCGAUUGGGCCGGCCCACCGGGCGUGAGGCCUAUUUCAAAGUGCGACGUAAAAAUCCUACACUGUCCCUGGUGAUAAUAGAAGGCACGAGAUGUAUAAGAACACAUGGAUACACGUCUACCCGAUCAAGUCUCACGGUCUUUCGCUAUUGCGCAUCGUGCCAAAGCCUUUCACGCACACACAAACACACUGGACGGCCGGCGGGCACAACAAUGAUCAAAUGGCUAUCUAUCUAACACCAAACUAAGCAUAUUUGCAAUGCUCCUUGCGUCCACACGCUAGGUACCUGCUCGAGUCUUUUGCUUAAUAUGCAUCGUGUCAAAGAAUACACACACACAAGUUUAAUUCUCAACAUAAACGCACCCACACUAUUGGAUAUCUAUCCCAACUAAGCAUGUUUGCGUAAUCGCGUUGCCCCUUGCGUUACUCAACUGUGUGUGCAGUCACACAUGAACAUUCUUCAAUUUUCGAACAAAUUUUGAGAAGGAACAUUUUUUGAAAAUAUGAAUAAACUUUGAAAAAUGGGAACAAUUUUUGAAAUUCAUGUAGAAAUUCUCUUCAAAUUCAUCAAGUUUUUUUUGAAUUCACAUAUGUCAUUUUUUCAGAAGAUGUGAACUUUUUUUCAAAUUCGUGAAGCGAGGCUCUUUUUUUUAUAACACUAUAACUUGAGUAACUCGCCGUCAGAAGCACCAAGAACAUACCAUAUGCCCUCAUGUUAAUCAUGCUAGCUCUUGAAAACAGAAAUACAAGAAAGCACAGUCCAUUAUAUCAUUGAGUUAGCAUGCUGCAACAUCAUUCAAUACCAGAAAUCUGACAUGUUUUGUUGCAUUUGCAUAGCAAGAGGACACUGAAACAUGAAACUAUAAGGAAAACAUAUAUACACUUGCAAACUGUUGCCGUGCAUCCCAUUUGACAAAGCUCGUUUGGGCAGAACAACCACUUAGUUUGCCAAAACUAGACCCACAUCAACACAGAUCUACAACUACUUCAAAUUAAUCUACAGAUUAUAGAAAAUAAGAAGCAAAGAUGUUCAAUACUCUGAAGCAACAAUUUUUUUAUCCUCUAUUUCUUGUGUGAGUAGUCAACCUAACUUGUAAUAUAUAUAAGGUCAAGGUCAACUGCAAGCUACUUAGAGCUAAACAUGUUACCGAGAGACACUUGUAGCUACAUGCUCAUUAUGUUUGAUGUUUCUGCAGGCCCUAUCUGACCCAAGUUAACAUUGGUAACCCACCAAAAGCAUUUAGAGUACUUAUUGAUACCGGCAGUGAUCCGGCAUGGGUGAAUUGUCAAGCUGGACUGAGUGUGAGUCAUCAGCCCCAACAAAACUAUGUUUAUUCCCAUGUACUUUUUCAAACAUAAAAAAGGCCAUCGUUCUAUUUGUUUUUGUAUAUACACUAGGGGGCAUAUGACCCCCCCCCCCACCCUGCCUAUGUGCAAGGUGUGGGAGAAAAGGAGCAUGGAUCAAUCACUUCAUCCCCUUUCAACCCGGCCGGGCAGUCUCUCUCUCUCUCUCUCUCUCUCUCUCUCUCUCUCUCUCUCUCUCUCUGAAAAAAUGAAGUCUUUUUCUCAGAGAUCCAUUUAGAUACGAGACUUAAGGUGAUAAGUAUAUAUCGGUCGUUGCUCAUUUGGGUUUCAUUCAACCAUUUCAAGAUAAUGUCAUGAAAAUACGGUAAUAAAGACCAUUAUACCAAUGUUUAUGUGAAGUCCAGCCACCGAGUUAUCUUGUCCACCUUAUUGCUAUGAUCUUCGGUCCUCUUGUUUUUACCCGCAUAAAAAUUCAUUAGUGGCCUAAGCGGCGGGCUUUGAUCUGGCCUUAUCUAAAUCAGCGAGUCUAAGCAUCAACUAUUGUGAAAUAUGGAAUACACCAUGAUCAACAUAGUGUGGAAAUUGUAUGAUCUCAAGAAUAUUCGUGUUACUGUUGUAUUGAUCUGACCCUCCUGCGGAUAUAUAUAGACUACAUGAGGAGUAGAGGCUUGGAGUACAAGACAAGUUACACAUGGUUUAAACAUAUUCUAUCUCUACCUCCCUCUCUAACUUAAACUCAAUUAUACUUCUAACAUUUCUCCUUGGUCAUAAAAGGAGUGAAGCGGACGAUUGCGACUGAAUUUAAAGUCUUGUGCUUUCGUUGUUUUCUCCGCUUCGCCGUCAUCACUGCAUUUCUGAUUGUGACUAUAUAUAUGUUUAAAGAAUAUUUGCACACACAGGAUGGCUCCAGGACUUGCAUGUAAGUACAUACCGUGCGCAUGGCCCGUGCUUGCUCGUUAGUAUAGAUCGAUCUGCUGCAUGAAGACCCGGUUGCUUGGAGUAGAGGCGUGCGCUAGAAAGCUGCGGCCGCGCGGUGCAUCCAUUUGCCGCGCGUUGCGGCCGUUUUAAAGUGUGGCACACCUGACUUUCCCGCGCGUUCGUGAGGGGUGCCGGGCGGUGCAGCCAUUUGCCGCGCGUUGCCAACUUGCAUCUCGGCUAAGUAGCUGCCGUUUGCCGCGCGUUGAGUCCGCCGUAGGCGGGUAGACGGAGAUACGAGUUGAUGUCGGCCGUCGGGAGAUCCGUGUACGUACGCCCUCUAGCUAGUGAUCGGGACGUGUUGUGUGAUCGGCUCCCCUACAGGCCAGGACCCCGUGGAUGCAUCGGUCUUCGAGAUCUGGAUGCAGAAUCGCUCGUGGCUGCCGUUUGUUGCCGGAUGGAUGCUACAGGCGCGUGGCCACGGAGCUGGAGACGCGCCGGAGUUGCUAGUGUGUCGCGCGGCCGCCGGGGACGUCGUCGUUCCACGAGUGUGCGCCAACUUGGUGUAGAUGCAGAUUGUGGAAAUCCCGGUCGCUUGGAAGAGAUGGUGUGUGCUGGUGGAGUUUCGAUCUUGAAGCCGGCCGCAUGCAGCGGCGCAUGGUCGAAGCCCACCGUGACACCGUGAUCGUCGCUGAAUGGAAGCAACUCGUCCGUGCGCGGCUUGGGGUCGAGGCCGUGCCGCCCGAAGAGCACGUGGGGUUUUGCUGCCGUCGAAGGAGUUGCUCGGUGAAGAGAUGCAUGUCGACUUCGGAGUCCUGUUGCACGUGAUAUCGACGUAGUUCAAUCGUGCUCGCUGGACCGGUCGCUGCGUGUUCACAACGCACAGCGGUGUGUCGCCCAUCUAGGGGUGGACUCACGAGCAGCUCGGCUCGUUAAGCUCAUACUCGUUAAGCUCGUGCUCGUUAAGGCUCGGCUUGUUAAGCUCGUUAAGAUUAACGAGUAGAAAACCCUGCUCGGCUCGGCUCGUUUGAAGCUCGUUAAGCUCGUGAGCGCUCGUGAGCGCUCGUUAACAGAUUAUAAUGUUUUACGAUAUACAGGAUGAAUGUGUAAGUGUGGUUUUCAAGACGAAAUAUGAUGACUAUAAAAAGAAAUGCAGUAGUUUGUUGUCUCAUAGGUCGAUUAGAUUGAAUAGAUGGGCUGAGGUGCUAUAAAAGUUUGUCACAUAAAAUGAAAAUAUGUGUUGUGUUGUUACUAACGAGCUUAACGAGCUACUCGUGAAACUCGUUAGCUCGCUCGUUAAGCUCGUUAAGCUUAACGAGCUAAAAUCAAUGAUUGGCUCUGUUCAUUAAGAAGCGAGCUACGAGCUUAACGAGCCGAACUAUCGAGCGCUCAUUAAGCUCGCGAGUUACGAGCUUUUGGUCCAGCCCUACGCCCAUCACGGGCGAUUGGCGGCGCUCAGCUGCUCGUCAGGUGUGACUAGGUCUCAGUCAUUGAGCUUUAAGAGCAUCUUCAGCCGCGUCCCCCAACAGGUCCUCCUCGGGCGUUUUUGCCGCGUCGGCGCCGAAAAAUGGCCCAGUCGUCCCCCAGAAGCCCAUUUUUCGUCGGCUCGGGCCGAAACUGAUGCCGGCGGACCCAGACAGAACCCGGCGCCCUGGGGGGCGUCUGGGGCACUGGCACAAGCGAAAAGGAUGCGUGGGUCUGCCCUGUCGGCGAGUCCAGUGCCUAUUCCCGCCGUUUCUUCUCGCUUUUCCCCCACUUUCCUUCCAUUUUCUCCUUUCCUCCCGCCAAUCUCCCUCCCGCCCGCCUCCCAGCCGGCCGUCAUGCCACCGAAGAAGUACGUCGUCCCCCGCGCGGGGCAACCGCGACCUCCUCCGUCGCCCAGCCGAAACAGAGGAAGCCGAGGGCGCCGCCGUCCAAGCCACCGGGCAUGCCAAACGCCGAGUAGAGGGCGGAAGUUCAGCGACGGGAGGCUGUAACCGCUGACCGGUGAAACAGGGCCAUCGCCAAGAAGGCCCGGACAACGCGGCACACGCGGCUGCGACUGCCGCUUCGGCGGACCAAGCUGAGGCCGAGGCGGCUCGCGCGGGAUGAUGAAUCCACCCGGCAGCCACGCCCAGUACGCUCCCUGAGGCCAGCAAAGCGUCGGCUCUCCGUCGCCGCAGCCAUGGGGAUCGCCCUCGCAGAGCUACGCCGACGGGGACGCGCACGGUGGGUUCAACCCAAACAUCACUUUCCCCAUGGACACCCGGCCCAGCGCACGCCCUCGCCCGCCUUCGCCGGCAUGCAGUACCCUCCAUACAACUACUCGCCUCCCGCCUACGUAUCCUCCCCGACGCCCCAUCUCCGCAGUUGCGCGCUGCCCUUCUCGCACCUCGGUGACACCGACGAGACCGAGGGCGACAUGGACGACGUCAUCGCCGUAGGUUCGGCCGUGGCCGCCGCGUCUCCUAGGUUCGACACCCCGGACGAGACGGUGGAUCUCAGCGGCGGCAUGGACGGUGAGCUCGUCUACGUCUACGGCGAGGAGGAGCAGGAUGAGCAGGAGCAGGAGGAGGAGGACCACGAGGAGGAGGAGGAGUAGGAGGAGCCGGCGACUGUUCCGGCGAAGAGGCGCAAGAAUAAGAAGCGGGCGGCCAGGUCAGGCGAGCCGCGCAUGAAUUGGGCGUCUAAGGAGGAGGAGUGACUCGCCGAAGCUUGGAAAGUCGUCUGCCUCGACCCGACCACUGGCACGAACCAGAGCAUCGAGACGUACUGGGAGCGCAUCAAGGCCGAGUUCGACGAGCGCAAGCUCGUCGACCCCUACUUCAAAGGUGUCUACAUGUAGUGCGGCUCGAAGGCGAUGGCGAACCAUUGGGGGCGUAUCCAGGGGCGUGCAACAAAUGGCAUGGGGUCGUCGAGGAGGUCGCGGCUCACCCGUAUAGAGCGGCGCCAGCGUUGAGGAUCAGGUAUGCCACGCCGGUCUCCCGCCUCUCUUCGCCGUGUACGCCCGCUAACUGUUUGUUUCCCGCGUAGUUGCUGCGCAUGUUCGCCCUGUACCGGCAGAGCAACAGCGACGCCGAAUUCAAGUACCUCCAUGUUUACAAGCACAUUGACAAGUGCGAGAAGUGGGCGGAAGUCCGGCGCACCCUCGACAAGGCCAAGGAGACCUACAAGCCGGAUGCGCCGACUCCUGGCGCAUCGGAAGGGCGGUCGGACGGCAACAAAGGUGCCAAGAAGGGGAAACACGCUGACGCGGCCACCGCUCGAGUGCAGGGGUCUAUCGAGCACUGCCUCGCCGACGCGCAGGCCCGGGCCGUCCUUCGUGGAGAGAAGUCCGAGGCGCGGUGGUCGGCGUUGAUGUCGAGCAGCGCCAUCAAGCUCGACCUACUCCAGACCAACGUCGCCGCGAAGAAGAGAAACACCGACCUGGCUUUCCUGCUGGGCGGGGCGGACAUACUCCAGAGCACCGACGAGGCGGUCAAGGCAUGGUACUUGGUGGAGCGCGGCCUCAUCCUGAACCAGCUUCCCUCGACGACGCCACCGACGCCAACGCCCACGCCGCCGCCGCCGCCAAGCCAGCGUGAUGACGCCUCCACGACGCCUAGCAGCACCGAAGCCGUGACGACACUGCCCAGCGCAGAAGCAGCUCCGACAAUGCCAAGCCCGCGCAUGCCGACUCCGCCGACGCCUGGGGCCGACCCUGCCGAGUGAUGCGUUGCGCACGCGAACUUGUGCCGCUCUAUUUUUUGUACGCCGAACUGUGACUUGUGGUCGCCGGAUUUGUGGCGUCUUUUGUGAGCGGGAACGACCAAGUUCGAAUUUUCCACGUCCUGGGUCCGGCGUCUGGGGGCGUGACUAUGAGCUAGGUCGCCCCCAGGGGCCGAACUAGCACCGGUUCUCCCCCAGACCGCUCUUUUUAGCGCCCUGGGGGGCCGAAUGGCUGGAGAUGCUCUAACAAGUCUCGGUCAAAUGAUAUAAUAUGCAAAAGAUAAAAAGAAACAUAUAAAAAAAAUACGGAUCUCAGUCUAAGAUCUCAUGAAUAAAGCAUCGACUGAGACUUAAAGUCUCAGUCAACUAAGACUUAACAAGACUGUUUCUUCACCGAUCAGUGAGAUCGAUCUGAUUUAUUUCAGUCCAAAGAAUUUGACCUAAAGUAUUUUGAAAAUCAAAGAAUUGAUCUAAUCUAAUCUGGGUGUCGUGCCCUCGGGGCAUGGAGAUUAAUCUCCCCGGAAGCGGCGUGCUGCGGAAGUGGCGGAGGAACCUAGGAUCGGCAUCGUAAAACUAACUGCUCUAAUACCAUGUGGAAGUUGUAUAAUGUCUAUAAUAUUUGUGUUAUUGUUGUAUUGAUCUAACUCCCGUGAGGAUGUACAAGACAGGUUACACAAUGGUUUAAACAUAUUCUAUCUCUAACUUGAACUCAAGUAUACUUCUAACACAUAGUAGUCAGAUGCUUGUUGCACCAACUCAUUUUUUCUCAAUUUUUCGUGUUUGGAUAUAUGAGAAAUAGUAAAGACAUUCAAGGUGGAAAUUAGAUCUAGGCAUGUAUAGAAAUAAUAAAUGAUUCGUUAAAACACUGAUAAUCCUUGAAUAUUUGUGUUUCACUGCUAUCAAUGAAUAAUAGAAAGCCUCAAUCUCUGUAGCACCUAUAACACCCAAAAGCUCAAAUUAAGAUAACAAUGCAUAUUUGGGUUGAUUGUUUGUGCAAAAACAUUCUAAGCAACAUGAGGCUUCAGUAACAGUACAAUAAUGAGAUGUAUAAACAACAUCAACAACUUGACCAUUGCCACAAACUGAUCUAUCAAAAUAUAAUCUCCAUGGCACUAAAGAGAUGAUGGUUAUAUCAAUGUUAUGAACUUGCCAGUGGUUGAAAAUCCAAUUCUAGCUAUCAUUAUGAACUGUGACAAUCAGACAGUAAUUUUCAGGGCAAAUAGUUCAAAUGAAAACAUGUAAUCCACAAAGAAAAUAAGAAGGAUACUAAAAUAUGUCACACAUUCAAGAAACUCUGGAGUAAUAGAUUGGACUGCAUCCAAUUGGCUAAGAAUUUGGCAGAUCCCUUCUCAAAAGGGCCAUCACGAACCGUGAUAAUAAAUGCAAGGCGGGAGAUAGGUAUGAGACCAACAUGAGUUCCAUGGUGGUUACCUAACCUAUGUGAUUGAAGAUCUGUGAAAUAGGACCUGGGAAACAAUCUACUGGCUAACUAAGGAGAGUAACCCUAUUAACUCACUUCGUUAGAGAUGCACUGCUUUCACAAUAUGGAUGUCACAUUGACUUUUUUCUUAAUUUGUUCUAAGGCAUUUAUCAGCAAGAUUCUAUCCUAUAGAGCGAUCUUUGGAAGAACACACUUAUAUGAGCGCAACUGCUGGUCACAGCCUGUGAUAUAGGGUAAUCUCUAGGAAGCUCAUGAACAGGUCGGGAGUGUGACUAUUAAGCUCCACCCGUGGGGUUAGCCUUCAGCAACCUACUAUCGGUAAGACAACUGGUAAAACUUAUUUAUGCCAAACUGACAAUUCAAAGUAUAGUCCACUGUUCAAUUGUGACAAAGUGUAACCCUUUGCUCUAGGUGGAUGAUGUCUACUACACAACCUUUUUCUUGUAGACGUUGUUGGGACUACAAGUGCGCAGGUUUGUAGGACAGUAGAAAAUUUCCCUCAAGUGGAUGACUUAAGGUUUAUCAAUCUGUAGGAGGCGUAGGAUGAAGAUGGUCUCUCUCAAGCAACCCUGCAACCAAAUAACAAAGAGUCUCUUGUGUCCCCAACACACUCAAUACAAUGGUAAAUUGUAUAGGUGCACUAGUUCGGCGAAGAGAUGGUGAUACAAGUGCAAUAUGGAUAGUAGAUAAUAGUUUUUGUAAUCUGAAAUUAUAAAAAACAGCAAGGUAACAAGUGAUCAAAGUGAGCGUAAACGGUAUUGCAAUGAUGGUAAACAAGGCCUAGGGUUAAUACUUUCGCUAGUGUAAGUUCCCUCAACAAUACUAACAUAAUUGGAUCACAUAACUAUCCCUCAACAUGCAACAAAGAGUCACUCCAAAGUCACUAAUAGCGGAGAACGAACGAAGAGAUUAUGGUAGGGUACGAAAACCACCUCAAAGUUAUUCUUUCCAAUCAAUCUGUUGGGCUAUUCCUAUAAGUGUCACAAACAGCCCUAGAGUUCGUACUAGAAUAACACCUUAAGACACAAAUCAAUCAAAACUGUUUGAGAUCGAAAAGAACAAAUGAUCGAACUACUUUAUCGAUGGUUACAGAAUCCUUAUAUACAAUGGGAAUGGACGCGUUCGUAAGACGCGACUGUUCGGGAGCCUCUACAAGAUAUGUCGGUUCCUGGAAGCGACGUUCCAGGGAGAAACUGCCACGACGGGGAGCGGGGAUUAUUCCCUUAAUUAACGUUGUGUUAAUUAAUCUUAACACUCCCCCUAAUCACCGCUUGACCGCAUAAGGAUCCAUCAUCUUCUAUUAAAUCUCCUCCAAAAACCCUGUGGGGAAAAUAUGAGGAGAUAGGUGUUCCAUAUGUUGCUAAAACUCCUUGAAACCCAGUGGGAAAAAUAAGGAGAAAAUGAUGCAACACAUAAUGGUUAUUGUCUCUUUUAACUCAAUACGAGAAAACCCAUAGAGUUUAGAGGACAAUAAAUAUGUCAUAUAUGCUUUCCUAAAAACCCCGGUGGGAAAAACAGAAAGUAUGGCAUAUGAUCUCAUGUUGAUAUUACCUCAUUAAAAACCUUUAUGAGAACCUGUAAAGUAAACUCAUGAAGGGAAAAAGAGUAUAAUAUGAUGCAUUGAACAGGAACAAUUCAGGAAGAUACUCCCCCUGAUUCUUGCAAAAAUUCGAAGCCGUCACAUACCAAAACAUAGAAGUUGGUAGAGACCUGCUGAACAAAUCAAUCGCAUGAUUUGACUUGCAAGAUAUGCAAUAUAGUGAUAUUGCUUAUUAUGUAACCUGUUUGCAUCCGGGCAGCACAAGAAACAUUAUCGUUGAGAUAAUGGUUGGUGAAUGUAGCCAUGAGGUCUAAUUUGAAGACUCUUCAUGAGAGGGCUACCACACCUUGUAGGAACACUAAACUUGUCUACGAUCUGAUAGUGGGGAUCUGAUCGAUGUAUCCAAUGAUAUUGGUGUUCAAAUUUCUCCGAAACUAAAAAACCAAGACAAGAUGUUUCAUGCCUUGGAGAUAUCGAAAGAUAUUCUUGAAUACCAACCAAAUGUGUUUGGUGGAUCCAAUGACAUUAUGAAACGUUGAAUCACAAUAUCUCAUUUCCAUCAUCUCUUGGUCUAAUUGAUCUUUCUCUACGUCUAGAGAAUGAACUACCAUGAGAGUUAUGGAUAGAUAAGAUUUGUCCACAAUGAAUUUCUCCAAUAUAUUUUGGAUAUAGACAACAUAGUAUACCAUAAUGUAUGAAUGAAGGUGCUCAAGUUGUAGUAACGAGCGGUAUUUUGGUUUACCCAAAUCCUUCAUUUUAAAGUCCGUCACUUAGAUGAUUACAUGUGUCGUCAUUGUAGACACACAACACAUGGAUAAUCAUCAUUCUAGGAGUAAUUCUUGUUUAUAAGGAUCUCACUACGUCGGUUGUACCAUAUGUACCGACAACAAUAAGCCAUAUGGUGGCUUACCGAUUUUACACAAUGUAUGUUGCAUUUUGUAUUUCGAUUCAGAAUUGAGAUUCCAUCAGAAAUCUAUCAUAUAUGUGUGAAUCUAGUGAUCCACAUGGAUAUGUGGUCACUACAUCUAUCAACUGUAGAGAUAGAUGAUUUUGAACUGCCAAUGAUAUAAGUUAUCGGAAUGAGAUUCCACCUCUGGAGAAUAGUUGGGUAUCUGCGUGAACCCUUGUGCUACAAUACUUACUCUUUGUCUCACCACCUCGUUGUUCUCAAUUCUGUUUCCAGAAGAAAACUGGUGUAGGUAUUGCUUAUGAAUACCUUCCCAUUAUUGAGCAAGGUCAUUUCUACCUAGAUUAUAUCCUUUGCGUGAGUUCAGUCCGAGUGUUGAUCACACUUUGCCAUGGCCAUGGUCUUUGGAUCUGAAUCAUUUGUAAGGUUUUGCAAUCUAGUUGAGAAAUGUAUGUCGACAAUUGUAGACUUCCGGUUAUAUGAUUCUCCAGAAUCUAGAUAUCAAUAUAUAGUUGAUGAAAAUAUCGUUGCCCAUAGUGACUUCUCGCGAUUUCCCAAUGCGAUUGAGUCGGGUAUUCCGAUGUCCCGGUCAUUGUGUGCACUAUGACCUAGGUUGGUGGGGGUUUCUCGUCCACUGGGUGUAUACUACCCAUUAGGUGUCUGCCAACGUGAAGUUGACUUGCAUUUACUGAUUCGCAGGCCUUGAUAUCCUUACUUGCGAGAAGCUGAAUCCUGAUGUACCUCUGCCAUACAUGACCCCCUAUUGCUUUUAACGAGGAGUGGAGUGGAUUUUGCUGGUACCUCCACUCUUUCAGGCGUACUUUUGCAGGAUUGUAGGAUUGUGUGACACCUUUAUAGUCAGUAAAUGAAUGUGGCAGGUUAUUUGCAAUGUGUUGCAAAUCUUCUGAACGCAUGGUUCAGAUCUUUGAGUACGUGGAUUUGAGGCAGAAAUGUGUUGAACAUUUCACUAAUUUCCUGGCAUUUUUUAUGGUACUUGAAAUCUCCCCCUAAUGCCUGGAAAUGUUCCUAAAUGAAUCAGCAUACUGGCCUUGAAUAACUCCCCAUGCGAGGGGCUUGAGGUAUUGAUGGAAAUACCGUUAUUCCUCACAUAGAUCCCAACUAUAUGUUGAGGGGCCAAUGAUGUAUGCCGGGUGGUGAUAUCGGUAUGCAACCGAAUUACUGUAGAUAGGAAAUACUUGGUAGAUAUCCACAUAUCAAAGAUAGAGGGGAAUAAUAUUAUGCAGUUCUGUCAUGAGCAUGUAAAACUGCAUGACUCCAACGUAAAGUUGGUAAGUUGGAAUUCCAAAGUAAAGAUAAUGCAAUGAGCUUGACUCUUUGGAUAGGAUUCUACCAAACCAUUUUGAGUCUAGACAUUAGGACAAAUUGCUAAACUUCAAUCCCAUGGGCAUAGAGAAGGCACUCAAGGAGAAUUUUGCAAUGUUAUCCAUUCGAUUUGCUUGAAAUCAAUGUCAGAAUAAUGAGCCAAUGGUUUCGUGUGAAUAAAGCACACACUUAAGACCAUCAUUUAGACAUGUUUUUUAGAACCAUGGAAUACCUGAAUAGUCUAGUCAAUGGAUGGGAAGAGCCACUUACCUCAACUUGAUACAUUCAAGGAUUCUGAGUGGUUCAGUGUGGUCUUUAAGGUGUGCGAGCUUUAAAAAUAGCUUCCCUAUGUCACUUGUAGUGCACAUAAAAUCCAAAUGCUGUUAGAAUUUAGCAUCAUAAUAAUCAUAAACUAUUGGAAUUGCUGAUAGUUUCGGUUUCAACCCAAUGUCUCGAUGACCAAGGCGAGUAUGCCAAGUUUGUCAUGUACAAGACACUUUGGAAAACUAUCUCGUACGUAAAAUGUGCUACGGGUUGUGUCGUAUGUGUAGUACAAUCCAGAUGAUACACAGAAAAUGUGCUUGCCAUAUCCGUUGCACAUGGUAAAGAGAAGUUAUUUCUCUUUGUUGUCAUCAUAAGUUUCGCUAUGGAAACUAUUUUGACGGAUACCUCCAUAGUUUAGUAGGAUACGAGUUAAACCGGAAAGCAAUAAACCAUCCUUAAGUUACUCGAGUACCCACAGGGAUAGUAAAUAUGACUCGAGUUGAGCCAACAAAUACCUCAUCGCAUCGAGCGAUUUUAAAAUAUCUCCUUUUCUUACUUUUCUAGGGAAUUAUUGCAACAGCGGUAAACUUUCUGUUUUCAAAUAGCAACAUGUAUACUUGUAACAUAGGCAUAGUAAAGACUAUUAAUGCCACUUUUAUUGAAAUAAAAGAUGCAAAACAUUGUUCUAAAUAACAGCAAGAAAAUCCUAACAAAAUAAAUUGACGCUCCAAGCAAAACACAUAUUAUGUGGCGAAUAAAAAUAUAGCUCCAAGUAAAGUUAUCGAUGAACGAAGACGAAAGAGGAGAUGCCUUCCGGGGCAUCCCCAAGCUUAGGCUCUUGGUUGUCCUUGAAUAUUACCUUUGGGUGCCUUGGGCAUCCCCAAGCUUAGGCUCUUGCCACUCCUUAUUCCAUAGUCCAUCGAAUCCUUACCCAAAACUUGAAAACUUCACAACACAAAACUAAACAGAAAACUCGUAAGCUCCGUUAGUAUAAGAAAAUAAAUCAUCACUUCAAGGUACUGUAAUGAACUCAUUCUUUACUUAUAUUGGUGUUAAACCUACUGUAUUCCAACUUCUAUAUGGUUUAUAAACUAUUUUACUAGCCAUAGAUUCAUCAAAAUAAGUAAACAACACAUGAAAAACAGAAUCUGUCAAAAACAGAACAGUCUGUAGUAAUCUGGAUCAAACGUAUACUUAUGGAACUCAUAAAAUUCUCAAAUAAAUUGCUGGACCUGAGGAAUUUAUCUAUUAAUCAUCUGCAAAAAGAAUUAACUAAAUAACACUCUCCAAAUAAAAAUGGCAGCAAUUCUCGUGAGCGCUAAAGUUUCUGUUUUUGACAGCAUGAUUAACAAGACUUUCCCCAAGUCUUCCCAAAGGUUCUACUUGGCACAAACACUAAUUAAAAGUAUAAAACCACAUAUAAGCAGAGUCUAGAUGAAUUAUUUAUUACUAAACAGGAGCGAAAAGCAAGGAAUAAAAAUAAAAUUGGGUUGCCUCCCAACAAGCGCUAUCGUUUAACGCCCCUAGCUAGGCAUGAUGAUUUCAAUGAUGCUCAUAUAAAAGAUAAGAAUUGAAACAUAAAGAGAGCAUCAUUAAGAAUAUGACUAGCACAUUUAAGUCUAACAUACUUCCUAUGCAUAGGGAUUUUGUGAGCAAACAACUUAUGGGAGCAAUAAUCAACUUGCAUAGGAAGGUAAAACACGCAUAACUUCAAAACUUUAGCACAUAGAGAGGAAACUUGAGAUUAUUGCAACUUCUACAAGCAUAUAUUCCUCCCUCAUAAUAAUUUUCAGUAGCAUCAUGAAUGAAUUUAACAAUAUAACCAGCACCUAAAGCAUUCUUUUCAUGAUCUACAAGCAUAGAAAUUUUACUACUCUCCACAUAAGGAAAAUUCUUCUCACGAAUAUUAGUGGGAGCAAACUCAACAAAAUAAUUAUCAUGUGAUUGAAAAUUAAGAUCAAGAUGACAAGUUUCAUGGUUAUCAUUAUUCUUUAAAGCAUACGUGUCAUCACAAUAAUCAUCAUAGAUAGGAGGCAUGCUUUCAUCAUAGCUAGUGCAAUCAUCAUUAAUAUUAUGGAUAUUCAAAGAAUUCAUACUAACAACAUUGCAAUCAUGCUCAUCAUUCAAAUAUUUAGUGCCAAACAUUUUAUAGAUUUCUUCUUCUAGCACUUGAGCACAAUUAUCCUUUCCAUCAUACUCACGAAAGAUAUUAAAAAGGUGAAGUGUAUGAGACAAACUCAAUUCCAUUUUUAUAUAGUUUUCUUUUAUAAACUAAACUAGUGAUAAAACAAGAAACUAAACGACUCGAUUGCAAGAUCUAAGGAUAUACCUUCAAGCACUCACCUCCCCGGCAACGGCGCCAGAAAAGAGCUUGAUGUCUACUACACAACCUUCUUCUUGUAGACGUUGUUGGGCCUGCAAGUGCACAGGUUUGUAGGACAGUAGCAAAUUUCCCUCAAGUGGAUGACCUAAGGUUUAUCAAUCCGUAGGAGGCGUAGGAUGAAGAUGGUCUCUCUCAAGCAACCCUGCAACCAAAUAACAAAGAGUCUCUUGUGUCCCUAACACACCCAAUACAAUGGUAAAUUGUAUAGGUGCACUAGUUCGGCGAAGAGAUGGUGAUACAAGUGCAAUAUGGAUAGUAGAUAAUAGUUUUUGUAAUCUGAAAUUAUAAAAACAGCAAGGUAACAAGUGAUAAAAGUGAGCGUAAAUGGUAUUGCAAUGAUUGUAAACAAGGCCUAGGGUUCAUACUUUCGCUAGUGUAAGUUCCCUCAACAAUACUAACAUAAUUGGAUCACAUAACUAUCCCUCAACAUGCAACAAAGAGUCAUUCCAAAGUCACUAAUAGCAGAGAACGAACGAAGAGAUUAUGGUAGGGUACGAAACCACCUCAAAAUUAUUCUUUCCAAUCAAUCCGUUGAGCUAUUCCUAUAAGUGUCACAAACAGCCCUAGAAUUCGUACUAGAAUAACACCUUAAGACACAAAUCAAUCAAAACCCUAAUGUCACCUAGAUACUCCAAUGUCACCUCAAGUAUCCGUGGGUAUGAUUAUACGAUAUGUGUCACACAAUCUCAUAUCCAUCUAUUCAACCAACACAAAGGACCUCAAAGAGUGCCCCAAAGUUUCUACCGGAGAAUCACGACAAAAACGUGUGCCAACCCCUAUGCAUAGGUUCAUGGGCGGAACCCGCAAGUUGGUCACCAAAAUAUACAUCAAGUGGCACGUGGUAUCCCAUUGUCACCACAGAUAUCCACGGCAAGACAUACAUCAAGUAUUCUCAAAUCUUUAAAGACUCAANNNNNNNNNNNNNNNNNNNNNNNNNNNNNNNNNNNNNNNNNNNNNNNNNNNNNNNNNNNNNNNNNNNNNNNNNNNNNNNNNNNNNNNNNNNNNNNNNNNNNNNNNNNNNNNNNNNNNNNNNNNNNNNNNNNNNNNNNNNNNNNNNNNNNNNNNNNNNNNNNNNNNNNNNNNNNNNNNNNNNNNNNNNNNNNNNNNNNNNNNNNNNNNNNNNNNNNNNNNNNNNNNNNNNNNNNNNNNNNNNNNNNNNNNNNNNNNNNNNNNNNNNNNNNNNNNNNNNNNNNNNNNNNNNNNNNNNNNNNNNNNNNNNNNNNNNNNNNNNNNNUCCAACUAUAAUAGCAAAGCUCGCGAUACAUCAAGAUCGUGCCAAAUCAAGAACACGAGAGAGAGAGAGAGAUCAAACACAUAGCUACUGGUACAUACCCUUAGCCCCGAGGGAGAACUACUCCCUCCUCGUCAUGGAGAGCACCGGGAUGAUGAAGAUGGCCACCGGUGAGGGUUCCCCCCUCCGGUAGGGUGCCGGAACAGGGUCCCGAUUGACUUUUGGUGGUGCCGGAAUAGGGUCCCGGUUGACUUUUGGUGGCUACGGAGGCUUGUGGCGGCGAAACUCCCGAUCUAUCUUGCGUUCUGGAAGUUUUAGGUCACGUUGGUAUAUAUGGGUGUAGGAGGUACGUCAGGGGAGCCACGGGGGCCCCACGAGGCAGGGGGCGCGCCCCCAUCCUCGUGGGCAGCUCCCGUAUCUUCUGACAUGGGGUCCAAGUCUAUCAGGUGUAUUUCCUUCCAAAAAUAACUUCUCCAGUUGAUUUCGUUCCGUUCCGACUCGGUCUGAUAUUCCUUUUUUUCAAAACACCGAAAUAGGCAUAAAACAACAAAUCUGGGCUAGGCCUCUGGUUAAUAGGUUAGUCCCAAAAAUAAUAUAAAAGUGGAUAAUAAAGCCCAAUAUUGACCAAAACAGUAGAUAAUAUAGCAUGAAGCAAUAAAAAAUUAUAGAUACGUUGGAGACGUAUCAGUGGACGUUCAACCUUAACCAGUGUCCACUAAAAAUAUUAGUAUAUCAAAACAAUUUUUUAGAACAAAGGACAACAUAAUGUGCCCCCGAGAUCUGAUGGGGCAUUGUUGAAGUAUAGAUGGGCUUUGGUCCCAUAUAAACAAUAAUUCAUGGUUGGUCUAUAAGGUCCAUGUGGGUGCAUGACAUGGUGAGAAAUUUAGUACCCUACUUCCAGUGGAAGAGAGUUGAGACCUCUUUACAAGGUAUUCUCUUUCACAUGCUAUUGCCGCUUGAAAAGAGGAAUGAUACACGCGCUUCUCCUCUGUCGCCCGUCUCGCCAUGCCAAUCAUCAUACGCGCUUCGUGUUUCAUGAAUGAGCCGAGCUGAGCUUAGACCUAUGUCAUGUGUGCACUUUAUUUUUGCCGGCCAGGAACAAUUAAUUAAUUAAAGAUAUCUGAGAGGUUGGACCAGGAGUUGUUGCUGACUUAGUCAUGGGCCAAAGCCCUGGCCCACGUCUCCCUACCCAACGACCUAUAUACUGGAGGCGUUGGCAACGCUAGCCGAUACACACUCUCUGCCUCCUCGCGCAUAACCCUAGCCGCCACUACCGUCCCACUCAGUGUUGAUGCUUCCGACAAUCCCAUCCUGUCGACCAUACGACAUGCAAUGAUAUGUACAUUUACUUGGAUAUUAGAAUGCUAUUUUACUAUGACAUACAUUUAUAACUAGGAUGGAAAGUGAAACUAAAAGUUAUCAACAUAGCAACUCUUAUGAACCUCUCUCUGCGUUAGGGUCAAAGGUAGUCUCUAAGAGAAGUUCCCAAGAACCUAUUGCAAAAACCCAUUAUCUAGUUUGCCAUUUUUUCAAAAAAUGUAAUAUGAACAAUUUUUUAACACAUGGUCAACAUUUUUCUAUACACAUUUAACAUUUUCCAAAUGCUUGAUUAACAUUUUUAAAUACUUGUUUAACAUUGUUUCAACUGCUCAAUAAACAUUUUUUAUAUACAUGAUCAAGAAAUUUCUUGAUUUUUUAAUAUAUGAUCAACAUUUUUUCUAUACACAUUUAACAUUGUUCAAAUGCUUGAUCUACAUUAUGUAAAUACUUGUUCAAUUUUUUUAAUAAGAGAUCAACAUUUUUUAUAUACACGUUCAACAUUGUCCGAACAUUUGUUCAACAUUUUUUAAACACCUGCUCAACAUUUUUAUACUUAUUAAAAACAUUUAAUACUUGUUCAACAUUUCUCAAAUACUCGCUGAUCAUUUUUUAAAUACUUGUUGAACAUUUUUAUAUACAUGAUCAAGAAAUUUUAUCAUUUUUUAAUACAUUGUAAGCAUCUUUUUAUACACAUUCAAAACAUUUCAAAGUGUAAAGAAAACUGAAAAUGGAAUCAAAAAAUAAAAUAAAAACAUGGAAAAAACAGAAAAGAUAACGAUGCAGUGUACCUACCGCGAACUGGGCUGGCCCAUAUCCUCGUGCUCUUCAGUGAGUAAGAAGACUCGACUCGCUGAACGCGAGACAUAGCAGCGCCCCUCAUUCUCUCUCUCUCUCAAAAAAAAAAGCAGCGCCCCCCAAGCGAUACAUAUCAAUUAUGCUCUUAGGGAGGACCCCAUUAGUCACCUACGUCUUCCACGCCUAGAAUAACUAGCACACCACUUCUAAAAAAAACUAGCACACCACACCAAAAUUCAAAAAAGAAAAAUACUGCCCCUAAAAAAGGUUAGUAGCACACCACACUUUUUUUAAUGGCAUACCACACGGUGUUGGUUACGAAAAGUCACACCACAUGUGUGUUUGUGUGUGCCCGAUAAAUAAACAUGUAUGUAAAAGAACUUAUCUCCCAUAUAUUGAAAAGGUAAAAAGUGAAAAAAAGCCAUGCAACAUAAGAACAAAAACAGUGACAUAUUUAUAAAAUAUACUAUGAUAUUUUUUAAAAUACUCGAUAAACAUCUUUAAAAGUAUGAUGAAUAUUUCAAAGUACACACUGGAAAAUUUAUAUGUACAGAGUGAAUAUUUUAAAAAUAUAUGAUGAAAAACUUUAAAUACAUGAUAAUUUUUUUUAAAAGAUGAUGAACAUCUUAUGAAAAAAUGCAACGAUGAAAUAUUGACAUAUAUUAACCUACACGACGAAGAUAUUUGGAAAACAAAAUGAACAUCUUUUAAUAAACCAAAAAAAUUAAACUACACGAUGAUCAUUUAGUUAAUAUAGAUAUGAAUACUUUUCAUUGCACCAAAACUUUCUGAAAGUACACGAUGAUCACCUAUUAAUACACGCCAAUUUUUUUUUGAUACAUGAUAAACAUUUUUAAAUACAAGAAAAACACUUUUUAAAUAUAUACAAUGUACAUUGUUUUAAAACAUGAUGAAAAAAGAGCUGAGAAAAAAAUAAAAAAGGAAGAAAGGAGAUAAUAAAAAUAAAAGAAAAAGGAAAUGAGAGAGAGAGAGAGAGAGAGAGAGAGAGAGAUCCCUCAUUCUGGUUAACAUGGCCAAGUGUAUUAUAUUAUUUUUCCAAGAUAAAAAUGAAUAUUAAACUAGGUAAAUAGGGAAAUCAACAUGGCUCAAAAAUCCAAGGAAGGAAUAAACCCUAAUAGACCUGUUUAAAA